RNAcentral lists this ribosomal RNA (468 nucleotides) under uncultured bacterium. Its description in RNAcentral is "partial 16S ribosomal RNA". It matches the Rfam family "Bacterial small subunit ribosomal RNA", at positions 28 to 507 of the family's 1533-position model. The record is from RNAcentral.
GACGAACGCUGGCGGCGUGCUUAAUACAUGCAAGUCGAACGGAAAGGCCCUGCUUUUGUGGGGUGCUCGAGUGGCGAACGGGUGAGUAACACGUGAGUAACCUGCCCUUGACUUUGGGAUAACUUCAGGAAACUGGGGCUAAUACCGGAUAGGAGCUCCUGCUGCAUGGUGGGGGUUGGAAAGUUUCGGCGGUUGGGGAUGGACUCGCGGCUUAUCAGCUUGUUGGUGGGGUAGUGGCUUACCAAGGCUUUGACGGGUAGCCGGCCUGAGAGGGUGACCGGCCACAUUGGGACUGAGAUACGGCCCAGACUCCUACGGGAGGCAGCAGUGGGGAAUAUUGCACAAUGGGCGGAAGCCUGAUGCAGCAACGCCGCGUGCGGGAUGACGGCCCUCGGGUUGUAAACCGCUUUCGCCUGUGACGAAGCGUGAGUGACGGUAAUGGGUAAAGAAGCACCGGCUAACUACGUG